This 1334-nucleotide ribosomal RNA is filed under the name Characopygus scythicus. RNAcentral's name for it is "16S ribosomal RNA". Lineage: Eukaryota; Metazoa; Arthropoda; Insecta; Hymenoptera; Cephidae. The record is from RNAcentral.
UAGAGGAACUUGUUUUUUAAUUGAUAGUCCACGAUAAUAUUUACCUAAUUUAUUUGGUUUGUAUAUCGUCGUUUAAAAAAAAUUUUUUAAGAAUUAUUAAUUUUUAUAAUAUAAUGAUUAAUUAUAUAAAUUCAGAUCAAGGUGCAGCUAUUUAUUUAGGAUAAAAUGAGUUACAAUAAAUUUAAUUUAUUUACGGAUUUUAAAAUUAAAUUUUUAAAUUAAGGUGGAUUUAAAAGUAAAUUUGAAUAAUUAUUUAAGUUGAGAAUUKUUUUGAAUUAUGUACAUAUCGCCCGUCGCUCUCGUUAUAAGAUGAGAUAAGUCGUAACAAAGUAAGGGUACUGGAAAUGUUWUANNGUAYWAARAUUUNUAAUUAAUAAUUAUAKUUAWAAAUGUAARURWUUUAUGAAAUAAUUUAAAAUAGUUAAUUUUUAAAGUAAAAUUAAUUUUUUGUACCUUUUGUAUCAGGGUUUAUUAAWUAWWUAUUAANUAWNNUUAAUUUUCUCGAAUUAAUUAGAGYUAAUAUAUUAUUUGAUAAAAUUAUUAUAUUUGUUUUAUGUAAUUGACUUAAUUUUAAAUUAAAAUAUUUGUAUAUUUAUUUUAAAUUAAAUAUAAUUAUAAGGAACUAGACAAAUUUAAAAAUAUUUACCUGUUUAACAAAAACAUGUCUUUUUGAUUAUUAAUUUAAAGUCUAAUCUGCCCACUGAAAAAUUUUAAAUGGCCGCGGUAUUUUGACCGUGCAAAGGUAGCAUAAUCAUUAGUUUUUUAAUUGAAAGCUUGUAUGAAUGAUUGAAUAAAAUAUUGAUUGUCUCAUAAUUAUUAAAAUUAAAAUUUAAUUUUUAAAUCAAAAAGUUUAAAUAUUAUUAAAGGACGAGAAGACCCUAUAGAUUUUUAUAAUUAAUUAUUAAUUUUAAUUAAAUUUAUUUAUUAAAUUAAAUAAUUAAUUAUUUUGUUGGGGUGACAUUAAAAUUAAAUUAACUUUUAAUUAAAAUAGACAUUAAUUUAUGAAAUUUUAAUAUUAUAUAUGUUAUAUAUAUUAAUUUUUGAUCCUAUAUUUUAGAUUAUUAAAUUAAAAUACCUUAGGGAUAACAGCGUAAUUUAUUUGGAGAGAUCACAUUAAUAAGUAAGUUUGCGACCUCGAUGUUGAAUUAAGAUAAUGUUUAGGCGGAGAUGCUUAAAUAAAUAGGUCUGUUCGACCUUUAAAUUCUUACAUGAUUUGAGUUCAGAUCGGCGUGAGCCAGAUCGGAUUCUAUCCUUAAUUAAUUGUAAAUGUUUUUGUACGAAAGGACUUAAUAUUUUAAAUAUUUUAUAUUAAAUUGAAWAAAAUUAAUUAWUUU